This 273-nucleotide long non-coding RNA is filed under the name Fukomys damarensis (Damara mole-rat). Its description in RNAcentral is "lncRNA (ENSFDAG00000023496.1)". The record is from RNAcentral. Lineage: Eukaryota; Metazoa; Chordata; Mammalia; Rodentia; Bathyergidae.
CUUAUAAUUUCUAUAUAUGAAGGUCCUCAAAUGAUGGGGUUGAGCAAGAUUGUCUUUAAGGUCAUGAAAUGCUCUAAGUCAGACUCCAAACUCCAGACAUGGAAUGCUUGUAUCUUCCUAAUUAUAUUGAUGAAGCACUGGUAUGACACAGGGAACAAGCAGUGCUGCUCACACAUCACCGGUGCAGCCGUAACCAUAGUAACCCCAAAGAGAAAGGGUCUUUGGAUCAUCAACGUGAUCAAAGGUAAGAUAGUUCACGUGCCUCUGGAAUAG